AAAGAUUACGCUAUGCAUGUAUAAGUACAUUUUUGAAACUGCGAACGGCUCAUUAGAGCUUAUAUAAAGUUUUCGGCUGCCUUUUAGGCUAUCUUCGACAAAUUGAAGCUAAUACAUGCAAACAUGCCCUUUUCGAAGGGCGCAAUAUUAGAACUACUGGCUUGCCGGCGGUUGAUUUCAAUUAUCGUUUCGAUAUCGGAAGGCGACUUCCGAUGGCCGUAAACUGUGUACGCCCUAUCACCCAGCAGGUUAAUCAUUCGCUAACCAGGGGUAUUACGGGUAACGGAGAACUAGGGUUCGUCUCCGGAGAGGAAGCCUUUGGAAGGCUACUACAUCCGAGGAAGGCAGCAGGCGCGUAACUUAUCCACUACCACAGUGAGAUAGUAACUAGUCUUAACUAUUGACUGAUCUUUUAGGUUAGUCAUGGUCCAUGAGUUGAGCCUAAAUAGCUCUUCGAGGACCAAGUGGAGGGCAAGUCUGGUGCCAGCAGCCGCGGUAAUUCCAGCUCCACUAGCGUAAAAUAUUACUGCUGCGGUUAAAAAGCUCGUAGUUGAAUCUAGUCGUGUCCGUUGGGUUUGUCGUUGGCGUUAAUUCGUCUCUGGCGUUAAUUCACGGCCGAUUUUUGCUGGUUUGCUGUUGGUCUUCGGAUCUUCGGUGGCUAGCGAGUUACUUUUGAUCAAAUCAGAGUGCUCAAAACAGGGCGAAAGCUCGUAUGAUUUCUCGGAGGAAUAACAGAAAGAGGACUUCCGGUUCUAUUUUGUUGGGUUCCAGAAAUCGGUUUAAUGGGUUAAAGAGGGGACAAUUUCGGGGGGCAAAACGGUAUCCCUCGCCGCCGAGGGGGUGAAAAUCCCGUGGGACCCGUGGAGGAAGACCGACCCAAAUAGCCGAAAAGCCAUUUUGC
This 901-nucleotide ribosomal RNA is filed under the name Rhabditis sp. DF5059. RNAcentral's name for it is "bacterial SSU rRNA". It matches the Rfam family "Eukaryotic small subunit ribosomal RNA", at positions 39 to 959 of the family's 1831-position model. Lineage: Eukaryota; Metazoa; Nematoda; Chromadorea; Rhabditida; Rhabditidae. The record is from RNAcentral.